GCCUGCCCAGUGACUAUGGGUUCAACGGCCGCGGUAUUUUGACCGUGCAAAGGUAGCGCAAUCACUUGUCUUUUAAAUGAAGACCCGUAUGAAUGGCUAAACGAGGGCUUAACUGUCUCCCCUUUCCAGUCAGUGAAAUUGAUCUAUCCGUGCAGAAGCGGGUAUAAAUCUACAAGACGAGAAGACCCUUUGGAGCUUAAGGUACAGACCCAAUCGCGUUAAACAACUUAUUAAAGAGCAUAAACUUAGCGCAUCAUGGAAUCUUACCUUCGGUUGGGGCGACCACGGAGGAAAAAACAGCCUCCGAGUGGACCGGGAAUAAAUCCUAAAGUUAAGAGCAACACCUCUAAACCACAGAACAUCUGACCAAGCAUGAUCCGGACAUAAGUCCGAUCAACGAACCAAGUUACCCUAGGGAUAACAGCGCAAUCCUCUCCCAGAGUCCAUAUCGACGAGGGGGUUUACGACCU
Molecule: ribosomal RNA, 470 nt
Filed under: Catostomus commersonii (white sucker)
Lineage: Eukaryota; Metazoa; Chordata; Actinopteri; Cypriniformes; Catostomidae
Description: partial large subunit ribosomal RNA
Rfam family: Bacterial large subunit ribosomal RNA
Source: RNAcentral